CCUACGGGAGGCAGCAGUGAGGAAUAUUGGUCAAUGGGCGCGAGCCUGAACCAGCCAAGUAGCGUGAAGGAUGACUGCCCUACGGGUUGUAAGCUUCUUUUAUAAAGGAGUAAAUUAAGGCACGUGACCCUUUUUGUAUGUACUUUAUGAAUACGGAUCGGCUAACUCCGUGCCAGCAGCCGCGGUAAUACGGAGGAACCGAGUGUUAUCCGGAUUUAUUGGGUUUAAAGGGAGCGUAGAUGGGUUGUUAAGUCAGUUGUGAAAGCUUGCGGCUCAACCGUAAAAUUGCAAUUGAUACUGGCAGUCUUGAGUACAGUUGAGGUAGGCGGAAUUCGUGGUGUAGCGGUGAAAUGCUUAGAUAUCACGAAGAACUCCGAUUGCGAAGGCAGCUUACUAAACUGCAACUGACAUUGAUGCUCGAAAGUGUGGGUAUCAAACAGGAUUAGAUACCCUAGUAGUC
This 460-nucleotide ribosomal RNA is filed under the name uncultured bacterium. Its description in RNAcentral is "partial 16S ribosomal RNA". It matches the Rfam family "Bacterial small subunit ribosomal RNA", at positions 338 to 795 of the family's 1533-position model. The record is from RNAcentral.